AGAAGUUCCAACCCUAACUGAAGUAAAAGCAGUAAUCAAGAAGUUGAAAAAUGGAAAGGCCCCUGGUAUGUAUGGACUAGAUGCAGAGAUAUAUAAAUAUGGUGGUGAUCAUCUUUGUCCAAAUUUGACGGAUGUGAUUCAGAGGGUUUGGCAAAGUGAAGAUGUUCUUCCGGAUUGGCGUGAUGCAACUAUGGAGAUACUAUAUAAAUCUAAAGGUGGAAAGUAUGUCUGUGAUAAUUAUCGCAGCAUCUGUCUGUUAGCUGUUGCUGGAAAAGUCCUCUGUGGGGUAAUACUGGAUAGGUUGAUUCUGCACAUUGCAGAUGAGGUUCUACCAGAAUCGAAAUGUGGGCUUAGGGAUAGCAGGAGUACUAUGGAUAUGAUAUAUUCGGCUAGACAGUUACAAGAGAAGUGCAUCGGAAGUAUAUGCAUUUAUACCAGGUUUUCAUUGACCUAACAAAGGUUUUUGAUUCUAUCAAUAGAAUUGCACUUUGGGAGAUCUUACAAAAGCUAUGAUGUCCUGAAAAAUUGGUGAGAAUGCUUAGACAAUUUCAUGGCAAGAUGAAAGUGAGAGUUAAUGGUGAAGGUACAUUAUCAGAUCCAAUUCCUGUAAAAAAUUGGGUAAAGCAAGGUGAUAUUCACGCUCCUACACUGUUUCCUGUAUAUUUCGCAAUAGUCUUUCAAAUAGCUAUUAAAGAUUUCCUGCAGGGGGCUAUAUAAGAUAUAGGACAACAGGAAAACUGUUCAAUCGCAAAAAGACUCAGUGCCAAAACGAAAGUUCUGCUUUCUCACCUUGUUGAGUUUCUGUAUGCAGAUGAUUGUGACCUGUUGGCACAUUCUCAGAAAGAUAUGUAGCACAUGGUGAAUGCGAUUUCUGCAGCAUGUGCAGCAAUGGGUCUAACAAUCAAUCUAAAAAAACUGUUAUGAUGCACUAGCCUGCUCCCUCCAAGAUGAAUGUGGAAUUUUUUAUAACUGUGAAUGGUCAAAAGUUGGAGACAGUACUUAGAUUUAUUUAUGUAGGAAGUAACUUGAGCACUGUGUGGUCUUGAUGACGAAUUUCAUACAGGAUCAGCAGGGCUAGUAGUACUUUUGGUAGGCUUGAUAGGGGUCUGUGGAAACAACAUAAUAUAUCUUGACAAAUUAAAGUUAAAGUAUAUUACACGUGUCCUUUCAUCUUUGCUAUAUGGAAAUGAGGCAUGGAAAGAUUUCAUCAAUGCUGUCUGAGAUGAAAUUUGGGGAUAAACUGGAAAAUGGCCAUUAGUAAGGUGGAAGUGCUUGAGAGGAGUGGUUGUAGAAGUAUAGAGUCAAUGAUUUUGCAAAGACUUUGAGGUGGGAGAACAUUAGGUAAGGAUGAGUGCUGAGCGACUUCCCAAGCAGCUAUUGUAUGGUGAGCUGGAAGAUCGCUGGAGACUAGCAAAUAAGCCUUAACUAGGGUUUAAGGAUUGCCUUAAAAAUGCUCUAAUACAGACAGGAAUUGCAGAUGGUAAUUGGCAGACAGAGGCACCAGAUCGUGAUGGAUGGAGGAAGAUAGUGCAUGAUGAUUCUUCAAGGUUUGAGAGGGAGAGAGUGAAAUAUGAGGCAAAUCGGAGGGGGCUUAGAAGAGCGAACCUGUGUAAAGUGAGAGAGUACUUCUUAUGUGUGUGGUUUGUGAGCGGCGAUGUUUGAGUCGUGCAGGCCUUGUGAGCCAUAGAAAUUCUCACAGAAAUUAACUCUUGAUAAACAAUGAUGUGGCGAUUAAAAUUCACAACAGAACAUGUGUAAAAUGUGGAAAGGUGUGCCUCUCAGUUGGAGGUCUAAAAAGACAUCUUAAGAGAGUUCAUAUGGUGGCACCCAUUUCUCACGCCAGCCAGUACGUUUGUCUAGUAUGUAAUAAAAUGUGUAAAAGCUUGGCCAGGCUUAAACAUCAUAUAAGGACAUCACAUGACAACAAUCAGGAACCAUUUCAAUAAGUCUUCUUGGCAAUGGGUUUUCUCGUGUAACAAGGAUUCAGCUGCGAUAUGUGUGUGUGCGAGUAUAUACACACACACACGCACACACACACACACACAUAUAUAUAUAUAUAUAUAUAUAUAUAUAUAUAUAUAUAUAUAUAUAUGUAUAGAUGUAUAUAUGUAUAUAUUUAUAUAUGUAUAUAUAGAUGUAUAUCUGUAUAUAUAUGUAUAUAUGUAUAUAUAUAUUUAUAUAUAUAUAUAUGUAUACAUAUGUAUAUAUAUAUAUGUAUAUAUAUGCAUAUAUAUAUUAUAUGUAUUACGCGUAUAUAUAUAAAUAUAUAUAUAUAUAUAUAUAUAUGCAUAUAUAUAUCUUGUAUAUAUAUAUAUAUAUAUAUAUAUAUAUAUAUAUAUAUAUAUAUAUAUGUAUAUGUAUAUGUACUUCCGUUUUGUUUGUAGAAAGAUAUGCUUUUUGUGCCCCUGGAACAACCAAGAGGGAUUUCCUUAAUUUACGAAAUAUCUACUAAAGCUUACAAAAAAAAAAUGAAAAACGUAGUACUUGUUAUUUCAUAAUGGUCUAAUAUAAUAUAUUGGUAAAAAAAAAUUAUAUAUUACACUAACGGUUUAAUAUAUUACAUUAAAAUCAGUGACGCGGGCUAGAGUUAUCUUCGAUGAAAAUACGAGGUGAUAGAUCGUCCGUUCAUUGGCGGCCGUGUGUAAAGGGUAAUCGAUUUUUCUUUCAAACAAAACUUCUUCCUACAAAGACAAGGGAUGAAAUUUACCAGUUGGGAAUAAGUAUCCUAUUAAUUUUGUUUAUUUUGUUUUAUCUUUGGUAGUACCGCAUGGAAAUUUGAUCUAAAGCGUAGUAUUUGUUUACUUUCCCUUUGAAAAUUUACGCUAGGAAAUUCAUUACGAAACUUCUCCUUUUUAUCACUACCAUUUUUCAUUUAUAUUUUCGUACAGCGACCUCUUCGUUUACAUUCUAUUUCAAAAUUUCACGGUAACAAAUUCGUUACGGACCCUCUUUCUUUUAACUAUCGUUUUUCAUUUUAUCUUUCUUCUUACAGCGGCCCUCUUACCGUAUAUUCUGUUCUACUCUACGCCUGAAAUUUUGGGGGAGAGAUAGUUAAUUUAUCGACCCCAAACGGAUGAAAUGUGAAGUCUAUCUCGGUGGAUUUUGAACUCAGAACAUAAAAAAAAAACAGACGAAUUACCGCAAAGCAUUUCGCCCUGUGUAUUAACAUUUCAGCCAGUACGCACGAACGCACACAAUUACGAGGGUGAGUGGAAAAUUUCAUGGGCUGAAUAUGAAGGAUUGGUGGUAGAAACCGUGAAAAUUUGACAUCGUGGAACCAAAAACAUUCAAGCUGACAUGGCGGAUACAUUAGAGGAUGACGCCCCAGCUUUAUAAACAGAGCAAAAAUGGGCCGCUGAAUUUAGGAGGGGAAGUGCGAAUUUGGAAUAUGUCGAAGUAUUUCGCUCAGUAUCGACCGUGUCUUCUUACACCUGAUCUAAAACGCACAAAGUUUAUCACAUCACGACAAAAUCUGACAUUGUGUGAGGCAGAUCCAGCUGGCUUCCUUGAACGUUUCCUCUCACAAGAUGUGUGUUGGUUUCAUUACUUUCAGCUAGAGAAAAAUAUUCAUUUUACGCUGUAAAAGCAUCCCUUCUCACCUCCAAAGAAGGCCAAGGUUGUUUCAUUUGCAGGGAAGGUGAUGGCGUAAGUCUUGGGGGGAUACAGAAGGCUUUCUAUUUAUUGACUACCUUCAAAUGGGCCACGCUUACAAUGUAGAGUACUACUCCAUCCUUUUUAUCCUCAUUAUUGGUGCCAUCUGUUCGUCAUCAGUUGCCCAGCACGAUAUAGACUGAUCUGGGAACCAGUAUCGCAGUGAUAAUAGCAUCACAACUGCUGUUGAUGAUAUUUCGAGCAACAAGAUGAAAACUUGUUUGCGAAUCGGAUCAAAACACCGGAAUACCGAAGGAAGAAUUGAUUGGACCGCAUCAGCCCAUGCACUUUUCAAUCAACCCAAACGAGGAAAUCAAAUAAAGAAUUUCAGACCAAUACCAGUUGAUUAAUUUCAGGUAAGCAUAAAAUAUUUCGUUUUGCAAUCAUGUAUACAUAAACUGCUAUGUAUAUUAACAGUUAAUAUGUCAAUUAUUGUGUCUUACUUUUGUGUUAGUAGUGCCAUAUUCUCAUUUUUUAAGCUAAGCUCUAUAGAAUUUCUAAAGAAGUCAGAACCAGAAUUGCAUAUUUCGAAAUUCCGUUUACGAAGUCAUCUAUAUAAACAAGGAGAUCUGACAUAGAAAUGAUAGGUAAUAGGUGCUUAUACAUAUUUCAUGAGUUAUUGCUUGUUCCUCAGAAUCACAUCCAAAGGCAAUUUAAAGACACAAUAUUGAUAUGAAAUCUUUUAAUAUAUUUGCUAGCAUAUCAUGGUGGCAAAACAAAAUACUGUCUCCUACGAAUAUAUGCGUAGCAGUUGCUAAGAAUGCGUCUAAUAUGUAAACAGGUGUAUCCAGUUGUGUUAAAACCGCUAUGCUUAGUGGAUAUUUAAGGGAUGUGUUCGGAGAUAGUUGAGUGGUUGGAUGUGGAACCAAUGAAAGAGCAAUAAAUCUUGGAAUAUACAGUACAUCUAUUACCUAUUCCUUUCUGUAUCCGAUCGCUUUGUUUGCAUAGACAUAUUCGUAUACGUUGUAAUCUAAGGUGAUCAUUGAAUUCCAAAGAAAAUUUAUAGGGAUAAAAUUUAUGCAUAUGCGUGCGUGCGUGUGUGUAUAUCAAAUUUCCAAGAUGUGGGAGAAUCAGGUAUUUAAAUAGUGUAAACCGAAAGGUCAGUUCGGUGAUAGCGCUAUUGUGUAGAAACAAGGUAUACGGCAAAUACGUACUCAGUAAAUUAAACAUUGACUAGUUAUGCGUACAUUCACAAGUGGCUGACUGAAUAGACAGCGUGUCGUCAAGAUCACACACGUGUACACUUACUGUACCUAUUGCAUCGCCGUCUAGAGACUCCAGAUCCAAGUUAAUUGAGGUUUCCAAGUUAAUUGAAGAAUAAUCAACAAAAGAUGUAUUGUGGUUCACUGCAGCUGUUUUAGACGUGUUUUUAUUUUAUGAACAGAAGAGUUCUAUCAUCCAAAACUUAAACCGUUUUCAUCAAGCGAAUACAGGUAAGAAUUAUGAAUUAAAACUUCUCAAGAACAAGUAUAUGGUGUGAGAUUCUUCUUCUUCUCAUCCCCCUCAUUCUUCUUCUUCUUCUUCUUCUUCUUCUUCUUCUUCUUCUUCUUCUUCUUCUUCUUCUUCUUCUUUGUCUUCUUCUUCUUCUUCUUCUUCUUCUUCUUCUUCUUCUUCUUCUUCUUCUUCUUCUUCUUCUUCGCUGCCUUGAGACAUUUGUGCGGCACAUCGGGCAGUCACUGAUCGGCAAUUAUCUCCGUCUCUGACCAACUGGCAUGCUUCUUCCCAGCGGAUGUUCAGACUGCGUAGGUCUUCUUUGAAAGUACUUCGCCAUGUCUUUCUUGUGUGACCUCUUGUGUAGAAAACAACAAUACUGUCAACAGCGAUGUAUACCUUCCGGCGGCAUCAAACACAUGGCUGUUUUGUCAGGCCUCUUCUCUGGCAGUCUUAGUAGGGUUAAAAUUGCAAUGAGAGGCCUUCUUUUUGCUGCUUGGAGAUUGACUUCAUUUAUCUCUCUAUCUCGAUAGGUGAUUUUUAGGACCUUCAUGAGGCACCGCUCACGAUAUACACCGAGUAGACGGGCGAUUUUUAGAGUCAGCAUCCAUAUUUCUGCUGUAUACAUCGCUGCUGGCAGUAUUGUUGUUUUCUACACAAGAAUCGUGAGCUCUAUACUUAUGUUAUUGCUACAACACAUAUUUGUCAGACUUCUAAAUACUGCCGCUGCGUUGCCAAUUCUGCAGCUUGCAUCUGCGUCUGCAUCACUGCUGCUUGUCACUAUGCUUCUCAGAUAUGUGAAGCUUCUAACCUCAUCAACUGCUUUCUAUCCAAACUUCACCGGAAAACUUUCUUUUUGUUUAACAACUUGCAUUACCUCCGUGUUUGACUGGUGAUUCUCAGACAAGUCUUUGUCGAUCGCCUCUGUAUUUUUGUAGUCAUUUAAUGUAAUGUUGGGUGAUUCUCUGCCAACAUGGCAAUAUUAUCGGCAGACCUUUUAGCCGGUCCCUCACAGUCCAUGGCAUGCCACAGGACACUACAGACACACACUCGGUCAUCUGUUGGUGUUUGUAUAUAUAUAUAUAUAUAUAUAUACCGAAAGAAUUAGAAAUAGCAGUCAGUGACUGUUUAUUUCCAUUUUCUACAAGUGGGGGCUCCAUAUACGACACAACCCUGCAAUUCACAUACGCAAAAGGUCAUAUUUACAUACUGAAAUCUACCGGUAAGUAAUUGUUGGUUAUCUGAAAAACCAUCGAAAAAAUUAUUUACCCUUAUUAUUAUAUAUAUGUGUGUGUGUGUGUGUGUGUGACCGCGUGUGACAUCUUUUUCGCGAUUUUUUCCUCCGUCUUCCAUUCUCUGGAUCUUUCCUUUUCCCAUGUCUCUCACGAAGAGCUCCGUACGAAACGUAAUACCCUCCUUCUUCCUUUCCUUCCUGACCGUCCAAUAGUACUAUAUUUGUUACACGUCCCCGCGUUGUUGUGUUGACUCUUUGUGUUUUCAUGUUUGGAUUAACUUUAUAUAUAUAUAUAUAUAUAUAUAUAUAUAUAUAUAUAUAUAUAUAUAUAUAUAUAUAUAUAUACAUAGGGGGAGAUUUCACAAAAACAAACAAAAGAAGAAGACAGGUGGUGUAGACAACAAAAAGAUGUAUUAGUUUAACGCUCAGGAAGUGAAAAUGUCUUUAACGUUUCAAGCCGACGCUCUUCCACAGAAAGGAACACAGAAAGAAAUAAGGAGAGAGAAUAAAGAAUAUGUAGUGGCCAGCGAACUAUCAUGUCGAAUGCCGAGAAUAUAUAUAUAUAUAUAUAUAUAUAUAUAUAUAUAUAUAUAUAUAUAUAUAUAUAUGCAUACAUAUAUGCAUACAUACACAUAUUUUCCUUUCUUCACACUUGUGUUUCUUUCCCUUCGUUGUAGCUGGAAGAACGAAGACGUGUUCUUGUUUGUCUCCAGUCGAAUCUUGAUUUACGCGUUCUCCAGCACAAACUCGUUUAGGCUUACCAGGCCCUCCACUUUCUUUUCAAUCUCCUGUUUGUGUUAUCAGUUUUGACCCUCCGCAAAAUCCUAAAUUUCAUUGAAUUUCCUUUGCGGGAGCAACUAUUUUAUCGAAAGCGUAUAUUGUUGUUAAAUGCUCGAAAUACGAGACUAGGAAAAAACAGCCAAGAACUGAUGAAGGAUUGUUCUUUAUGUUGUUUGUUUUAUUUCCCAAUUAGUGACUUUCGUUGUUCGAAAGUACAGUUCAUGUUCCAUGUGCUUGGGCUUCGUAUUUCUUGUUGUACACGUUUCGUGACGUGCUGUUCCCACAUAUGCAUAUAUACAUAUACCUUUAGAUGUAAAUAUGUAAAUAUACGUAUGUAUAUCUGCACGCAUACACACACACAUACACACACACAAACACACACACAUAUAUAUAUUAAAUAUGUGGAGACGCAAUGGCCCAGUGGUUAGGGCAGCGGACUCGCGGUCGUAGGAUCGCGGUUUCGAUUCCCAGACCGGGCGUUGUGAGUGUUUAUUGAGCGAAAACACCUAAAAGCUCCACGAGGCUCCAGCAGGGGAUGGUGGUAAUCCCUUCUGUACUCUUUCACCACAACUUUCUCUCACUCUUACUUCCUGUUUCUGUUGUGCCUGUAUUUCAAAGGGCCGGCCUUAUCACUCUCUGUGUCACGCUGAAUAUCCCCGAGAACUACGUUAAGGGUACACGUGUCUGUGGAGUGCUCAGCCACUUACACGGAACCGACGGAGUGCUUCCAUUCCAUAUUAAAUAUAUCAUUUACAUCAGUAUAUGAUUGAACGCCGAGCAUCCUCUUCCAUGUAAGUUUUAUCUUAAUAAUUCUGAUGCACACUCCAUACGCUCUUAUUCCUCUUUCGGUUUUCUCUCUUGGUCUCCCUUGUUCUUUUACCGCCUUUUCUCCCACUAUUCUAUCGCAUUACUCUCUCACGCUCUCUCCUUCACUCCUCCUCCCUUAUAGUUGUAUGUACAUAUACGUAUGUAUAUAUGCAUAUAUAUAUAUAUAUAUAUAUAUAUAUAUAUAUAUAUAUAUAUAUAUAUAUAUAUAUUAUAUAAAAGGGCUUAGUAAAAUAAAUUACUUUGCCGCAUACUGAACUCAUUAGAAAUAGCAGCUAAAAAAACUUUUUUAAAACUAUUUCCAAUACUUAAAGAAAAUCUCUCUCAUAUAGUGUUUGCUCAAUUCAACUCACGAAAGUAUGAGGGUAGAAACAUUAAAAAAAUCAAAUGCAAAGGUUAUUUGAGAACGUACGUUUCAAGAUUAGUCAAACUCGACACUUCUAUCAUCAGCUCAGAACUCCCUGGUUUGGAUUUGAAAACACUGAAAGUAGGAGCAUACCUUUUCGGCUUCCCAUCGCCUCUGAAGAUCUACUCGAAACUAACAGUGUCAGCAAAUUCAAAUAUGCAAGCGAAGAAUUUCUGCUCUUCCCCUUCCACCAGCGUGGGCUAAAAUCAGCAAACAACAUGCUUUUUUUCGGUAAAAUCCGAGGCAUUAAAUAGAGAGAGAUGAAUUAUAAUUUCAACAAUUGAGGGUAAAAUUAAUUAAUUAAUCAAUUUCACCAAGUAUUCAGUAUGCAAAGGGACCAUUUAAGGCAGAAUUCAAAUUAUUACAUUAUAUAAAAGGGCUUAGUAAAAUAAAUUACUUUGCCGCAUACUGAACUCAUUAGAAAUAGCAGCUAAAAAAACUUUUUUAAAACUAUUUCCAAUACUUAAAGAAAAUCUCUCUCAUAUAGUGUUUGCUCAAUUCAACUCACGAAAGUAUGAGGGUAGAAACAUUAAAAAAUCAAAUGCAAAGGUUAUUUGAGAACGUACGUUUCAAGAUUAGUCAAACUCGACACUUCUAUCAUCAGCUCAGAACUCCCUGGUUUGGAUUUGAAAACACUGAAAGUAGGAGCAUACCUUUUCGGCUUCCCAUCGCCUCUGAAGAUCUACUCGAAACUAACAGUGUCAGCAAAUUCAAAUAUGCAAGCGAAGAAUUUCUGCUUUUCCCCUUCCACCAGCGUGGGCUAAAAUCAGCAAACAACAUGCUUUUUUUUCGGUAAAAUCCGAGGCAUUAAAUAGAGAGAGAUGAAUUAUAAUUUCAACAAUUGAGGGUAAAAUUAAUUAAUUAAUCAAUUUCACCAAGUAUUCAGUAUGCAAAGGGACCAUUUAAGGCGAAUUCAAAUUAUUACAUUAUAUAAAAGGGCUUAGUAAAAUAAAUUACUUUGCCGCAUACUGAACUCAUUAGAAAUAGCAGCUAAAAAAACUUUUUUAAAACUAUUUCCAAUACUUAAAGAAAAUCUCUCUCAUAUAGUGUUUGCUCAAUUCAACUCACGAAAGUAUGAGGGUAGAAACAUUAAAAAAUCAAAUGCAAUGGUUAUUUGAGAACGUACGUUUCAAGAUUAGUCAAACUCGACACUUAUCAUCAGCUCAGAACUCCUGGUUUGGAUUUGAAAACACUGAAGGUAGGAGCAUACCUUUUCGGCUUCUUUAAGUAUUUUCUUUAAGAUUUUCUUUAAGUAUUGGAAAUAGUUUUAAAAAGUUUUUUUAGCUGCUAUUUCUAAUGAGUUCAGUAUGCGGCAAAGUAAUUUAUUUUACUAAGCCCUUUUAUAUAACGUAAUAAUUUGAAUUCGCCUUAAAUGGUCCCUUUGCAUACUGAAUACUUGGUGAAAUUGAUUAAUUAAUUAAUUUUACCCUCAAUUGUUGAAAUUAUAAUUCAUCUCUCUCUAUUUAAUGCCUCAGAUUUUACCGAAAAAAAGCAUGUUGUUUGCUGAUUUUAACCCACGCUGGUGGAAGGGGAAGAGCAGAAAUUCUUCGCUUGCAUAUUUGAAUUUGCUGGCACUGUUAGUUUCGAGUAGAUCUUCAGAGGCGAUGGGAAGCCGAAAAGGUAUGCUCCUACUUUCAGUGUUUUCAAAUCCAAACCAGGGAGUUCUGAGCUGAUGAUAGAAGUGUCGAGUUUGACUAAUCUUGAAACGUACGUUCUCAAAUAACCUUUGCAUUUGAUUUUUUAAUGUUUCUACCCUCAUACUUUCGUGAGUUGAAUUGAGCAAACACUAUAUGAGAGAGAUUUUCUUUAAGUAUUGGAAAUAGUUUUAAAAAAGUUUUUUUAGCUGCUAUUUCUAAUGAGUUCAGUAUGCGGCAAAGUAAUUUAUUUUACUAAGCCCUUUUAUAUAAUGUAAUAAUUUGAAUUCGCCUUAAAUGGUCCCUUUGCAUACUGAAUACUUGGUGAAAUUGAUUAAUUAAUUAAUUUUACCCUCAAUUGUUGAAAUUAUAUAUAUAUAUAUAUAUAUAUAUAUAUAUAUAUAUACAGGGUGUCUAUAAAGUCUGUUUACAAUUAAAAAAAAUCAUUACAAAUGCAGUCGAUGAGAUAUUUUAACCAGAUUCGUUUUAUUUUAAUAAUUGUUUAUUAGGGUUUUAUUGAUAUUAAUGUUAUGUGUUUCAGAUACUCUGUUGAUUCAAGGGAACUGAUCCACUGAACUCCUAUAAAAUGAGGGUGAAGCAUUCUUCAAGCGAGUUUGUUUCAGUGAAGAGGUGACUUUCAUGUAUCAGGGGAAUUAGACACAAUUAUAUAUAUAUAUAUAUAUGUUAUAUUACUUAUGCUAUUAUACCUAUAUACAUAUAUGUGUGUUUAUAUGUAUAUGUAUAAAAAACAAAAUUAUUAUUAAAAACUUCACGAUUUGUAUUGUAUGGUUAAAAAAUAUAUUACAAUAAUGUUAAGAAAAUGAUAUAAAAUUUUGUGUAUAGUCACAUUGUUUUUGGAGAAAUAACCGGUUUUGUUUUUACUUUUCAAAUUUCUCAAAUUUCUUUACCGAUGAUAUGUCAUCUAUUCGUUAUUGUGUGAAGUAGAUUUCGAAACAGGGGAGGUAAUCGGUGAUGUUUUCUGUAUAAGGGAGAUAUUAAAAAAUGUUGGGAAUGAUUAGGUUUUGUUAAUUUGAUGAGUUUUGGUUUUGAUAGAAUAAAACGUUAUAAAUGGUUAACCUUUGGUUUAUAUUUUUCAAUGAGGUAAGUUCCUUUAUUUAAAAAUGCAAGAAAGGUUAAUUUUUGGCUAAUAUUUUUCAAUGAAGUAAGUUUCCUUACUUAAUCUAACUUCUGUUGGUGUUCCAAUAGCACAUUGAUAAAAUGGAAAGAUUUCAAAUUGUUGUAGUAGUCAUUUUGCUCAUGUGUCAAUAAAGUGUAUCAUUCUGUAUUUUGUAAAUGCAAUCUGCUGUCGGUGCAGAGUACAUCUUCAUCCCUUGGACACAUUGUAAUUCUGUUUGCAGCCCGAGCAUCUUAUGUCAUAAAUCAGGUUUUGAAGUUUUGUCCCUCUUUACAAAGGAAUUCUGAUCCUUCUAGAAGGAUAAGUAAUGAUGCGUAAUUUGCUCGACCACAUUUUUUCACUUUUGCGUCCGUUAUUUUAGAAAAUAAUUUUGCGUUUGUAAGGAUCUUAUUUAGUGAUUUCGGUUGUAUGUGGCUUUUAAUGAGCUCUUGUGUGUGUAAAAUUUCCUUUAAUUUCGGGUCGUUAUGUAGCAUUGGUAGAUUUUGGGUGAUGAUGUCGUAGGCUUCUUUGUCUCUGGGGUUGUAAGUGGAUGUGUACGGCAGUAUUUUCGUGAAGGUGUGUUGCUAUGCUGUACUUUUAAAUGUUUUAUGUCGAUUUGUGUUGCACGUCUAAUUCCAUUCUCUAUGCGUUGGACUCGUUAGUGUCUUUCAGUGAGAGUGUUUUGGAGUUCUUGCAGUCUAAAGUCUCUGGUAUUUUUUCUGACACUAUGGUGCGUAUCCUUCCUGCAAGGUUGCAUAGAAUGUAUGUUUUUGGUGUGGAUUGGGUGGCGGUAAUUAAAUAGUAGAUAUUGUUUGGCGUCUGUGGUUUUGUAAAAUAUGUGCGUUACUAUUUUUAGGUAUAUUUGUUUAACUAAUAUAUCCAAGAACGGGAGCUUCUCUUGGUUGUAUUCCAUUGUAAAUUGUAUGUGGGGGCUGACGCUGUUCAAUAGUCUUUUAAAAUCCAGGUGUUUGUGUUUUCAUUCUAGAGAAUGAAACGUCCAGGAUUCUUUUCCAGUUCCCUUUUAUGUAUUCGGAAAGAGGGUUUCUAAAGGUAGAUAAAGAUUCUUGGUAUAUUCUUAUUUACAGAGAGCCCAUUGUUAGCUUCGCAAUUAUCCUAACCCUAACACUAGUACACAUGCCAAUUAUUGAUCUUUGUCGAUAAAAUGUGUUAUCAGGCGUGAAAUGAUUGUUUCAUAGGACGAAUUCAAUUGGUUCAAUUAUGAACCCAUUGCUAAUCCUUUCAGGUAUUACUUCAGGAUAUUAAUCCAGCCAGAACUUAAUUGCCUCUAGUCAAUAAUUAUGAGGUAUACUGGUAUAUGAAUUAAUUACAUCAAAUGAAACCAUGAGUGUUUCUUCUUUGUUUAUUUUGGGAGGUGAUUUAAAACGUCCAAGUCAUCUCUGAAUUAACUAUUGAUGUGUUUCAGGAGGACUUUCAGUGGGGUGUUCAUAAAUAGACUUACAUUGUGUUUUUCAAAAUGGGUCACAAUUAUAGGUCCCCUGGGUCUGUUGUAUGUAUGUCUUUGGUGACCUUUUAAUGGUUUCUUUUAUAAUAUUUUUGUGGAUUUUUGGUAGACAGUAAAAUAGACUAGGUUUGAAUUUAAAGUUUAUUAAAUAAUCAAAUUCUUUGGUUGUCAAUUCUUUUCCAUGAGUAUUCAUUAGUGAGGAUAAGUUUGUCAUUAUUCUUUGGUGGGUGCGUUUGUGAUAUUUUCGUAAUAUUUACUUUCUUUAAGCAUGUUAACAAAUUCAAAAUCCAAUCAGAUUUAUGCUUAGCCUGCAACCAGAAUUACAUAGGAUCUACAGGAUUAAUGCUCAGAUGCAGACGCACUGAGCACCGAUAGCAGAUUGAAUUCCCAAAAUACAGAAUGACACCCUUUAUUGAACACAUUGAUACAUGCGCACAAAGACUCCUACGACAAUAUGCAAUCAUUCCAGUUAAUCAAUGUGCUAUUAGAAAACAACAGAAAUUAGAUUAAAUAAGGAAACCUACUUCAUUGAAAAAUAUAAGCCAAAAAUUAACCAAUUCUAGUAUUUUAAAAUGAGAAAACUUACCUGUAAUAUAUUUCAUUCUAUGUUGUAUUUUUAUACAUCCAACCAGGUGCUUUUACAUGCCAACUCUCUCACAUACCUACGUAUAAAUAUCGACAUAUAUAUAUAUAUAUAUAUAUAUAUAUAUAUAUAUAUAUAUAUAUAUAUAUAUAUAUAUAUAAUAUACAUUUAUAUAUAUAUAAUAUACAUUUAUAUAUAUAUAUAAUAUACAUUUAUAUAUAUAUAAUAUAUACAUUUAUAUACAUAUAUAAUAUAUAUAUAUACAUAUAUAUAAUAUAUAUAUAUACAUAUAUAUAAUAUAUAUAUAUAUAUAUAUAUAUAUAUAUAUAUAUAUAUAUAUAUAUAUAUAUAUAUAUAUAUAUAUAUAUAUAUAUAUAUAUAUAUAUAUAUAUAUAUAUAUAUAUAUAUAUAUAUAUAUAUAUAUAUAUAUAUAUAUAUAUAUAUAUAUAUAUAUAUAUAUAUAUAUAUAUAUAUAUAUAUAUAUAUAUAUAUAUAUAUAUAUAUAUAUAUAUAUAAUAUAUAUAUUAAUAUGUAUAAUAUAUAUAUAUAUAUAUAUAUAUAUGUAUAUAUAUUUAUAUAUAUAUAUAUAUAUAUAUAUAUAUAUGUAUGUAUAUGUAUAUAAAUGUACAUAUUGUAUAUGUAUGCAUAUACACACACAUAUAUAUUAUAAAAUAAGUUCCGGAAGAAUAUAUAAAAUACGUGCAUAUGUCUGUUGCAUAUAUUUGUCGAGUGAAAACAAUGCAAGUCAUGUAGAAUUAAUAAUGCAGCGCAUUGGCUAGGAUAAUUGCCUGUUCUUUCAAUAUUUCAUUAAAUUUACUAAGAAAAAGUUCUCGACAUAUGGUGCCUUCGUUCUCUAGAGAUUGUAAAUAAAUGGUUGCUCUGCGUUGCUAUAGUAGUCAUUAAGCAACUUGCAAUUUAUACCUGAUAUUAAUUCGCAGGUUGUAGUCAUUAAUUAAAAUAGUUUCUCUAAUUUAGAAGUUCCACAUGUGACUUUCGAAAGAUUCAGCAGAAAAUUGUAUAUCAUAGGUGUGGCAUUUACGUAGGUGGGUUUUAAUAUUUUUGACAGAAACAUUACCAGUGAAGUUUUCGCUAACCUUUAUGUGAAUUACACUGAUGUUAAGCCGGCAUAGAAUUCAUUACAAUUGAUACACCCGAUUUUGAACACCACGUAGUGCUGCAGAUAUGUAUUUCCAUCUCCGAUCGGGCAGUUGGAUAAUGUACAUGAGGUAAAAAUUAUAUAUGCAAAUAAUCAUACAUAUAUAUAUAUGAAAUACUGAACGAACAGUUCCAAAGUGUGUUCACUACACCUCUAGGACACAGGCUAGUAAACAACCCAGAAGAAUUCUUUGCCACUUUACCAGCGGCCAAAGAGACAAAAAUUGAGUACAUCAACAUCGAAGAAGAUGAUAUCACACUAGCCAUUGAUGAGAUUGACACAAACUCAGCUGCUGGACCUGAUGGAUUCCCAGCGAUCCUUCUCAAAUCGUGCAAACGAGCCCUUGCAAAACCGCUACAGCUUCUUUUUCAGAGCUUUCUUGCAAGUGGUAAGCUCCCAGUCAAACUGAAAGAGGGGGUAAUAUGCCCUAUCCAUAAGGGAGGUAGCAGAGCAGAUGCUAAAAAUUAUAGGCCUAUCUCUCUGACCUCACACAUCAGCAAAGUCAUGGAACGAAUAGUCCGUAAGAAACUAAUCAUGUUCCUUGAAGAAAAUGACUUACUGUCUGACACCCAGCAUGGAUUUCGACCAGGUAGAGGCUGCCUGACACAGCUCCUGCAACACUAUGACUGGGUGUUGAAACAGCUACUAAAUGGCUCAAAUGUGGAUGUAAUAUAUCUUGACUUUGCAAAAGCCUUUGAUAAAGUCGACCAUGGUAUGAUCUGUCACAAACUGCGUGGUCGCGGCAUAGGCGGGAAACUUGGAGAGUGGCUGCACAACUUCCUAAAAGACAGAAAACAGGCAGUUCUGAGCAAUGGAGCCACCUCCAGGGAAACGCAAAUAACAAGCGGUGUCCCACAGGGCACUGUCUUGGGGCCACUGAUGUUCAUAGUGGCCCUUUCAGACAUGCCUUCAGUUGCUACGAUGACCACCCUUGCUAGCUAUGCAGAUGACACAAAAGUCUCCCACGCAAUACAAAACCCUGAAAAUAUUGCGCAUCUGCAACAUGAGCUGGACACAAUAUACAGGUGGGCUGAGGACAACAACAUGCAGUUUAAUGCAGGUAAGUUCCAGGCCCUGCGCUACUGGCACACAAAGGUAAAUGACGUGAAGACUGGAUACACUGGCCCAGGAAGAAUUGCAAUCCCUGAGUCAAAAUCAGUGCGUGACCUGGGCAUUGACAUGAGCAAUGAUGCAUCUUUCCAAAUGCAUAUUGCUAAUCUGGUGAUAAAAUGCAGACGGCUAGCUGGAUGGAUUCUCCGAACUUUCAGAACAAGAGAGAAGGAGACACUGAUGGUCCUAUAGAAAACAUUUGUCCUCAGCCGCUUGAACUACUGCUCCCAACUUUGGUCACCACACAAUAUAAAACAAACAGCAAAACUCGAAGCAACUCAGAGAAGCUACACAAAGAAAAUCGUCUCAAUGCAAAAUGUCAGCUACUGGGAAAGACUGAAGGUAUUAAACCUCUUCUCCCUGGAGCGGAGGCGGGAGAGAUAUGCAGUGAUAUACAUCUGGAAAAUCCUGGAGGGUCUUGUCCCAAACUUUGGCAUUCAAAGUUACUCCAACCGCAGAACGGGGCGCCGCUGCGUGGUGCCAAGGAUUCCAACAUCACCAUCAAAAUACAGGUCCAGAUACUGCAACAGCUUGGGUUUCAGAGGACCACAGCUCUUUAACAUCCUCCCUAAAUGCCUCAGAGACUUACAUGGUGUGGAUGUGGGUUUCUUUAAAACUAAACUGGAUCUCUUCUUGUUGGGAGUCCCAGAUGAACCUACCUCACGACAGGAGACACGGAUGCGGGCAGCAGCAUCGAACUCCCUUGUUGAUCAAGUGCCACGUAUCAGAGGUGGAUUCACAAACUAGUGUAGCUCAUUCAGCGGUGGUGCCCCAGCAUGGCCGCGGCCUUCGGGCUAAAACAUUUUUAAGGAUUUAAGGAUUUAAGGAUUUAUAUAUAUAUAUAUAUAUAUAUAUAUAUAUAUAUAUAUAUAUAUAUAUAUAUAUAUAUACAAGCUGAACACUAGGGUGGAUGUGAUCGACUUCUCCUCCCCUCAACAUAUCUGGCCUUGUACCAAAAAUAGGAAAGAAUUAAUGGUUGCAGUUGUUGUAGUAUUUUUUCAUAGCGACAGUAGUUGCAAGAUAACGUAGAAAAUGAUGAUGGUGAUGACGAUGUCGACGAUGAUGACGACGACGAUGACGACGACGAUGAUCAUGAUGACGAUCAUGAUGAUAGUGAUGACGUCAAUGGUUAUGAAGAUGAUGAUGACGAUGAUCAUGAUGAUGACGAUGAUCAUUAUCAUGAAUAUUAUCGUGUCGUUGAGGAUGCGGAGGAAAUAUGCCUUCAGAAGCAGAAGAUAAAAUUUAGCUGGAUAGGACUGACGGUGAUGAUUAUCAUAACGAAGAGAAAAAUUCAGAGUGGCGUAAGAAAAUGAAGUAUAGAUUUAUGACCAUGAUGGCACUAGUAGUUAUUGUCAAGCUGGUUACGCUUUUGGUAGCGAGGGCGGUAUUUGUGAAUGAACGAGGGGGUUAGAAGAAUCGUUAUGGCGGAGUUUCUUUCUUCCAGCUCGUUAGGUUCCGAAUUCAAAUCUCGCUGAAGUUAUCUUUGUCUUUUAUCACUCGUUAGUCGAGAAUGGAAGGUGCGAUUCAAGUACAGCGUGGCACAGAGAGGACGGACGUUCUUGAAAAAUUCACAAAGUCAUUAAUUUUAGCUGCAAACAGAUUUUAUUGAUAUCAAUGUGUUCAUAUUGAAUUAUCAUUUGUCAAAAUUAAGUGUGGAAAAGAGCAUCCAUCAUGUGAUUUCCGUUUUCAUUAAUGAAUAUAUGAUGGCGUUCUUGGAAGCUGGCCUCCACUCUCACCAGCAUUGCUCUUUGCAUAGUGCCAUGGUUUCAACUGUUGUCCAAUGACCAAUUUAUACGAAUGGAAGUGCAAGUCUGCGUGCAAAAUAUGUCUUACCGAUCAAUUACCGAUGCUAAGUUCAGUGGAAUGCCUCCUAGCAGAGGGAUUAGGACUCCGUAUCAACGCUUGUCUGAUGCGUUCCACAUUAAGCCGGGGUCCGUACUGUUCAUGGCAAACUUCCACUGGUCGCCUGUUCAUUAGUGUACCUCGUGCACGAAGUAGAUUCACCCAAAAUAAGAUUGUGUUAGGGUUCGAACAGCCUGAUUUCGUUGAAAUUUGAAGUGGUGCCGAAACCCAGUCUGAAAUGUUGUGAUAGAAUCACUAUUCUUCACGUAACUGUCGAAGGCAAACACACAAUGCUCUGACGUCCACAGCAGCAUGGCUUCACCUAAAAAAAGCCAAGACACCACGGACUUAAUGGUAUUUGUUGGAUGUAUGCCAUUCUACUGAGUAAUAUUUAUUUCAAAAACCUCCGUUCACUCUACGCCACCCUGUACCAGGGUCGAUUUAAUCAGCCAAUCAUCUUCCUCACAAUUUAGGUUGUGCGCCUAUAUUAGAGAAGACGAAUAUCGUGAUAGGGAUGACGAUGGUUACUGAGAGUGGUCCAAUAUCACAAAUUUCUCAAGACAUUUUCAGUGAUUGACCAUUUAGCCCAAUAUUUGCUAGUGGGAUUCGAGCUCCCUCCAACAAAUUUUAGAAUAGCAUCUACCCCAUAUGUUACAAGCUCAACCAAUCUACGUAUUUCAGCAAAAAUUUCAGGCCUUGUGCCUAUAGUAGAAAUGAUUCGCCUUCUUUUGGCUGGGAGGGGCAGUGAAUUUUUAUUUGUCUAGUGGCUGUAGCGAAAGAGGUAGUAUGGUGGACCCGUUUGAUAGGGCUAAAGACAGACCCUUUCCGCUUUGGCCAAGCCCUCAUCAACUAUUUCAAGUUUCACUUGAAAAGGAAGUUGAGGGUGGAGAGGACAGUAAUGCCUUCUGGCAAGUUUGUUGAAAGGUGGAUGUGCUGGAAGACUGACCAGUGCGAAAAGACCAAUUCUGAGCGUGCACCUGUAAAAAAAACGAUUUUAAGAUAGGUUAUACGUUUUUGAUUUGAUAUUUAAUUUUUAAAUUGUAUUUCAUAAAUAUAUUCUAUAGAUAUUUAUAAUAUUUAUGUAAGUAAUAAUGGACUAAUAUAUUUAUUUUUCGUUAUAUGUUUGUAUAUUUAUUGAUAGAGAAAAUUUUAGAUUUUUAAUUAUUAUAUUUGUUGAUUAUAAUUUAGAUACUUAUUUUUAUAUAUUUAUUAUUUUAUAAUUAUUAGAUGUGAACUUAAAUCUAAAAAUAUUCAUAGUGAUUAUUUUGUUAAAUAAUUUGAUAAUUAAAUAUUGGAGUAUAACUGAGUUAAAGAUAUUCGAUAGUUUAUUAUGUAUUUUUAAAGCCAAAUUUUAUCUUCAAAGAUAAAUACAUAUCUAUGUAUUUUUUACAUUAAAAAUUAAAUAUUUAACAUAAUAAAUGUGUUGUAGGAAAUAAUCCUAAUGUUUUAAGUUUCUAAUUUAGUUAAUGGAGGUUUUCUAUAAGAAAAAUUAUUAUUUUAUUUAUUUUCACAUAAAUAUUGUUUAACUCUAUUUGCUUAUUUAUUUAACAAUUAUCUGUAACCUGAUGAUUAACUAUAAUUUUAAAUCGAAUGUAUUUCAAUUGAAUUUAAACUUAAUUGUAAUUCGAAUUUAAUUGUAACCGUGAAACAUACGUAGUUUUUUUACUUAUUAUAUAUUGAUCAUUCAUUUUUAUACUUUUUGAGAUCUAGUGAUAAGUUAUACGUUUUAUAAAAAUAUACAUUAUUUGUUAUUUACGUUUUGGAUUAUUUCUAUCACUCUUUGAGUUGCAUAAUAGUGGUUUUAUCUCUAAUUUCUAUUAUAUAUAUAUAUAUAUAUAUAUAUAUAUAUAUAUAUAUAUAUAUAUAUAUAUAUAAUAUAUAUAUAUAUAUUUAUAUAUACAAUUUUGAUUUAUUUAUAGAUAGGCGGAG
This 19157-nucleotide long non-coding RNA is filed under the name Octopus vulgaris (common octopus). The record is from RNAcentral. Lineage: Eukaryota; Metazoa; Mollusca; Cephalopoda; Octopoda; Octopodidae.